This 350-nucleotide unclassified non-coding RNA is filed under the name soil metagenome. RNAcentral's name for it is "partial contains 5.8S ribosomal RNA, internal transcribed spacer 2, and large subunit ribosomal RNA". The stretch from base 1 to 120 matches the Rfam family "5.8S ribosomal RNA", at positions 35 to 154 of the family's 154-position model. The record is from RNAcentral.
GAUGAAGAACGUAGCGAAAUGCGAUAAGUAAUGUGAAUUGCAGAAUUCAGUGAAUCAUCGAAUCUUUGAACGCACAUUGCGCCCCCUGGUAUUCCGGGGGGCAUGCCUGUUCGAGCGUCAUUUCAACCCUCAAGCUCUGCUUGGUAUUGGGCGUCGCCGGGGAGUUUUCUCCGGCGUGCCUCAAAGCCAUCGGCGGUGGUGCCUUUCUCUAAGCGUGGUAGAAUUUUUAUUCGCUUCUGAGUUGGGCUUCGCCUGCCGGACAAACCGGGCCCUCGCGGCCCAUCUUCUAAGGUUGACCUCGGAUCAGGUAGGGAUACCCGCUGAACUUAAGCAUAUCAAUAAGCGGAGGA